Molecule: unclassified non-coding RNA, 654 nt
Filed under: Hevea brasiliensis (rubber tree)
Lineage: Eukaryota; Viridiplantae; Streptophyta; Magnoliopsida; Malpighiales; Euphorbiaceae
Source: RNAcentral
UUUUUUCUUUCUUGCUUCUCUUCUUGGUUCUUGCCAUUUGACAAAGAGAGGUAAAAGAAAAUACCUUUUCUUUCUUCUUGUUCUUCUUCUCGUUUUACAUUUCUUUUCUUUCUUUUUCUUUUACUCCAUAACACCCAUUCAAAAUCUUCUGUCCACCUUUUUGGUUUUCAACUUUCUGCUUCAUAUUACACACAAACACAACCCAACGGUUCAACCUAAUACACACGAUUCUGAUUUCAAUUGUCCAUGUUUCCAGCUUUCAUCACCACCUUUUGCUAAUUAAACUCUCUAAAACAAUCCAGUGGUACUCAAGCUAUUACCUUUCUCUUCUUCCACUGUGUGAUCAGCUGCUACCAGUUGUUUUUCUGUCCGUGAUGGUUCAAUGUAGAAGAUCCUUCUUAAUUCUACUUCUUUGGAUCUUCUUCAUGUUCAUUUUUUUUAUUGGUUAUUGUCAUGCCUCAAGAACCACAAACGUUUUCGAUCUAAAGCCCAAGUCUCAGCAGUGCAAGGGGCAUUUCUUGAAUUCCUUGCCUAGACAUUUACCAAUACCUACUUCUGGCCCUUCAAGGAGACACAAUGAUAUUGGGUUACAAAGUUGGAGAUCACCUUGAACAUUUAAAACCAUUUUUGAAGAAAAGGUGAUUCUCUUUUAUU